CCUACGUGAGGCAGCAGUGAGGAAUAAUGGUCAAUGGGCGAGAGCCUGAACCAGCCAAGUCGCGUGAAGGAUGACGGCCCUACGGGUUGUAAACUUCUUUUGUCAGAGAGAAAUUGUGUCCAAGCGUGGGCUUAGCGAGAGUACCUGAAGAAACAGCAUCGGCUAACUCCGUGCCAGCAGCCGCGGUAAUACGGAGGAUGGGAUCGUUAUCCGGAUUUAUUGGGUUUAAAGGCUGCGUAGGCGGGCUGUUAAGUCAGCGGUAAAAGCCCGGGGCUCAACCACGGCGAGACGUUGAAACUGGCUGUCUGGCGAUGUCUAGAGGUAUGCGGAAGGCGCAGUGGAGCGGUGAAAUGCUUAGAGAUUGCGCAGAACUCCGAUUGCGAAGGCAGCAUACCGGCGGCGAUCUGACGCUGAGGCACGAAAGCGUGGGUAUCGAACAGGAUUAGAUACCCCAGUAGUC
RNAcentral lists this ribosomal RNA (460 nucleotides) under uncultured bacterium. RNAcentral describes it as "partial 16S ribosomal RNA". It matches the Rfam family "Bacterial small subunit ribosomal RNA", at positions 338 to 795 of the family's 1533-position model. The record is from RNAcentral.